UUAAGUUAAUAAGGGCGCACGGUGGAUGCCUUGGCACUAGGAGCCGACGAAGGACGUGACAAACGACGAUAUGCCUUGGGUAGCUGUAAGUAAGCGAUGAUCCAGGGAUUUCCGAAUGGGGGAACCCAACAGGUAAUACCUGUUACCCACAUCUGUUAAGGAUGUGAGGAGGAGGACGCAGUGAACUGAAACAUCUAAGUAGCUGCAGGAAGAGAAAGCAAAAGCGAUUGCCUUAGUAGCGGCGAGCGAAACGGCAGGAGGGCAAACCGAAGAGUUUACUCUUCGGGGUUGUAGGACUGCAAUGUGGACUCAAAGAUUAUAGAAGAAUGAUUUGGGAAGAUCAGCCAAAGAGAGUAAUAGCCUCGUAUUUAAAAUAGUCUUUGUACUUAGCAGUAUCCUGAGUACGGCGGGACACGUGAAAUCCCGUCGGAAUCUGGGAGGACCAUCUCCCAACCCUAAAUACUCCCUAGUGACCGAUAGUGAACCAGUACCGUGAGGGAAAGGUGAAAAGCACCCCGGGAGGGGAGUGAAAUAGAACCUGAAACCGUGUGCCUACAACAAGUUCGAGCCCGUUAAUGGGUGAGAGCGUGCCUUUUGUAGAAUGAACCGGCGAGUUACGUUAUGAUGCGAGGUUAAGUUGAAGAGACGGAGCCGUAGGGAAACCGAGUCUGAAUAGGGCGCCUUAGUAUCAUGACGUAGACCCGAAACCAUGUGACCUACCCAUGAGCAGGUUGAAGGUGCGGUAAGACGCACUGGAGGACCGAACCAGGGCACGUUGAAAAGUGCUUGGAUGACUUGUGGGUAGCGGAGAAAUUCCAAACGAACUUGGAGAUAGCUGGUUCUCUCCGAAAUAGCUUUAGGGCUAGCGUCGACAUUAGAGAUUCUUGGAGGUAGAGCACUGUUUGGGUGAGGGGUCCAUCCCGGAUUACCAAUCUCAGAUAAACUCCGAAUGCCAAUGAAUUAUGGUCGGCAGUCAGACUGCGAGUGCUAAGAUCCGUAGUCGAAAGGGAAACAGCCCAGACCACCAGCUAAGGUCCCAAAAUAAUUGUUAAGUGGAAAAGGAUGUGGGGUUGCACAGACAACUAGGAUGUUAGCUUAGAAGCAGCUAUUCAUUCAAAGAGUGCGUAAUAGCUCACUAGUCGAGUGACCCUGCGCCGAAAAUGUACCGGGGCUAAAACAAUUUACCGAAGCUGUGGAUACCUUUAUAGGUAUGGUAGGAGAGCGUUCUAUGUGUGAUGAAGGUAUACCGUGAGGAGUGCUGGAACGCAUAGAAGUGAGAAUGCCGGUAUGAGUAGCGAAAGACAGGUGAGAAUCCUGUCCACCGUAAGACUAAGGUUUCCAGGGGAAGGCUCGUCCGCCCUGGGUUAGUCGGGACCUAAGGAGAGACCGAAAGGUGUAUCCGAUGGACAACAGGUUGAUAUUCCUGUACUAGAGUAUGUAGUGAUGGAGGGACGCAGUAGGCUAACUAAAGCAGACGAUUGGAAGAGUCUGUCUAAGCAGUGAGGUGUGAAUUGAGUCAAAUGCUUAAUUCUAUAACAUUGAGCUGUGAUGGGGAGCGAAGUUUAGUAGCGAAGUUAGUGACGUCACACUGCCAAGAAAAGCUUCUAGCGUUUAAACAUACUCUACCCGUACCGCAAACCGACACAGGUAGUCGAGGCGAGUAGCCUCAGGUGAGCGAGAGAACUCUCGUUAAGGAACUCGGCAAAAUGACCCCGUAACUUCGGGAGAAGGGGUGCUGACUUAAAGUCAGCCGCAGUGAAUAGGCCCAAGCAACUGUUUAUCAAAAACACAGCUCUCUGCUAAAUCGUAAGAUGAUGUAUAGGGGGUGACGCCUGCCCGGUGCUGGAAGGUUAAGAGGAGUGCUUAGCGUAAGCGAAGGUAUGAAUUGAAGCCCCAGUAAACGGCGGCCGUAACUAUAACGGUCCUAAGGUAGCGAAAUUCCUUGUCGGGUAAGUUCCGACCCGCACGAAAGGCGUAAUGAUUUGGGCACUGUCUCAACGAGAGACUCGGUGAAAUUUUAGUACCUGUGAAGAUGCAGGUUACCCGCGACAGGACGGAAAGACCCCAUGGAGCUUUACUGCAGUUUGAUAUUGAGUGUCUGUACCACAUGUACAGGAUAGGUAGGAGUCUAAGAGAUCGGGACGCCAGUUUCGAAGGAGACGCUGUUGGGAUACUACCCUUGUGUUAUGGCCACUCUAACCCAGAUAGGUGAUCCCUAUCGGAGACAGUGUCUGACGGGCAGUUUGACUGGGGCGGUCGCCUCCUAAAAGGUAACGGAGGCGCCCAAAGG
RNAcentral lists this ribosomal RNA (2290 nucleotides) under Streptococcus pneumoniae. RNAcentral's name for it is "bacterial LSU rRNA". It matches the Rfam family "Bacterial large subunit ribosomal RNA", at positions 3 to 2316 of the family's 2925-position model. The record is from RNAcentral. Lineage: Bacteria; Bacillati; Bacillota; Bacilli; Lactobacillales; Streptococcaceae.